UGGGGAAUAUUGGGCAAUGGACGAAAGUCUGACCCAGCAACGCCGCGUGAAGGAAGAAGGUCUUCGGAUUGUAAACUUUUGUCUUAUGGGACGAUAAUGACGGUACCAUAGGAGGAAGCCACGACUAACUACGUGCCAGCAGUCGCGGUAAUACGUAGGUGGCGAGCGUUAUCCGGAAUUAUUGGGUGUAAAGGGUGCGUAGGCGGGAUGUAAAGUCAGAUGUGAAAUACCGAAGCUUAACUUCGGAGCUGCAUUUGAAACUUACGUUCUUGAGUGAAGUAGAGGUAAGCGGAAUUCCUAGUGUAGCGGUGAAAUGCGUAGAUAUUAGGAGGAACACCGGUGGCGAAGGCGGCUUACUGGGCUUUUACUGACGCUAAGGCACGAAAGUGUGGGGAGCAAACAGG
RNAcentral lists this ribosomal RNA (404 nucleotides) under uncultured prokaryote. Its description in RNAcentral is "bacterial SSU rRNA". It matches the Rfam family "Bacterial small subunit ribosomal RNA", at positions 355 to 776 of the family's 1533-position model. The record is from RNAcentral. RNAcentral also lists the same sequence under 1 other name.